RNAcentral lists this ribosomal RNA (403 nucleotides) under uncultured cyanobacterium. Its description in RNAcentral is "bacterial SSU rRNA". It matches the Rfam family "Bacterial small subunit ribosomal RNA", at positions 28 to 478 of the family's 1533-position model. Lineage: Bacteria; Bacillati; Cyanobacteriota. The record is from RNAcentral.
GAUGAACGCUGGCGGCGUGCUUAACACAUGCAAGUCGAACGAACCUUCGGGUUAGUGGCGGACGGGUGAGUAACGCGUGAGAAUCUGCCCUCAGGAGGGGGAUAACGGCUGGAAACGGCCGCUAAUACCCCAUAUGCCGAGAGGUGAAAUGAAUUUCGCCUGAGGAUGAGCUCGCGUCUGAUUAGCUAGUUGGUGGGGUAAGAGCCUACCAAGGCUUCGAUCAGUAGCUGGUCUGAGAGGAUGAUCAGCCACACUGGGACUGAGACACGGCCCAGACUCCUACGGGAGGCAGCAGUGGGGAAUUUUCCGCAAUGGGCGAAAGCCUGACGGAGCAACGCCGCGUGAGGGAUGAAGGCCUCUGGGCUGUAAACCUCUUUUCUCAAGGAAGAAGAUCUGACGGUAC